Molecule: long non-coding RNA, 1081 nt
Organism: Gadus macrocephalus (Pacific cod)
Lineage: Eukaryota; Metazoa; Chordata; Actinopteri; Gadiformes; Gadidae
Exons: 2
Source: RefSeq, a predicted model, not a curated record
GUGUCUGUUUUGUCCUUGUAUGUGCAGCGCCCCUACUGCAUAGAAAUGGAAACACAGGUCCGAGAGGGACCAAUGUAGGGGGAGUACAGAGAGAUCUGGAGUCUAGACAGAUCGGGACCCAUUCUCUGUUGCCGAGAUCGGAGCCGGUUGAGUCACUCAUGGAAAGAAAUAUAAACUUGCACGGUGAAUGAUGAUGUGUAGUAGGGUUCAGUGUGUCACCACAUGUCGGCCACAUGUGUUCGAUAACAGACGAUGCUUUGGUUCUGUUCCGGCUGUAAAACAAGAGGGGGAGCUACAAGCCUGGGAACGCAGAUGAAUGCCAAGACUUCAUCAAUAACUAAUUUAUUUAAGGGCUUAUUUUAUUUGGAAGUAAUUAAGCACAGGGAUAAUUCUAAAAUCGUUGCAUGUAGCCUACGUCACGCCCGCACACAUGUACUAGAUCUCGACACAAACAUUCCAUACACACGUGCCGAACACACACACACACACACACACACACACACACACACACACACACACACACACACACACACACACACACACACACACACACACACACACACACACACACACACACACACACACACACACACACACACGUACGUACGUGUGUUUGCGCUCCAAGCUAAGCAUGACCCACAGGAAACCCACUCAGAGGUCUGCAAGCCCAAGCAUUAUUUCCUUUGGACGUGUGUGAUGUUGACAUCACAUGAACACCAUUAACAUGUCAUACAGUAGGCCUAUAUCCCAGAACCUCAUGGUUAUUACUCUUUGCGCUCGGGACAACUGCUGACGGACGGAGAAAGGGCAUGAUUUUAUUUAUUUUUAUGGCUUGGGGUGCUUUUGCCUACGAUUCAACAUCGCCUUUGUGAUGUUGAUGUAGGGGUCAAAUUAAUCCACGUUGAAAUCUGGGACUACAAAAUUGCCGUUUUUAAUCAGAAUUGCAUAUUGAUAUUCUGUGCGAGGUCAUACACACAUAGAUAUUUCAGUGACAGUAUUUUACAGAUGAGUAGAACAUGUGCAUGGAAGAGUGAAAUCAUCAGCUGUAUCAAAUAAAAGAAACUUAGGAACUACAUGAAAA